GGAGAGAUGGCCGAGUGGUUGAAGGCGUAACAUUGGAACUGUUAUGUAGACUUUUGUUUACCGAGGG
This 67-nucleotide transfer RNA is filed under the name Arabidopsis halleri cf. subsp. halleri EZ-2018. Its description in RNAcentral is "partial tRNA-Ser". Lineage: Eukaryota; Viridiplantae; Streptophyta; Magnoliopsida; Brassicales; Brassicaceae. The record is from RNAcentral.